This 231-nucleotide unclassified non-coding RNA is filed under the name Hevea brasiliensis (rubber tree). The record is from RNAcentral. Lineage: Eukaryota; Viridiplantae; Streptophyta; Magnoliopsida; Malpighiales; Euphorbiaceae.
UGAGAACUCAUUUUUACAUUAGUGACAAUAUAUGGUGUAUAAAGCUUUAGCAUGCAAGCAAAAUCAUCUAAUUCAAUUCACUUAUCAAUCUCUGCGCUAAAGUCAGGUUCGGAGGGCCUUCGUGGGUUCAGCAGCCUUGAAUCAUUACUUGCGCUGCGAAGCCUGCGAGCACGAAGAGCAUUGGCUGCAAAGCGAGAUGCAAGUAGUGUUGCACCAAGCCUGGACGAACUG